This is a long non-coding RNA of Alnus glutinosa, 627 nucleotides long. RefSeq lists it as uncharacterized. Lineage: Eukaryota; Viridiplantae; Streptophyta; Magnoliopsida; Fagales; Betulaceae. The transcript is spliced from 3 exons. The record is from RefSeq and is a predicted model, not a curated record.
UCUUCCCUCCCCCUCACUCACGCACACUUCCUUUCUUCCUCUUUCUUUUCCUUCUUCUUCCCACUCAGCCGAACCACCUCUCCCUCUCUUUUCUCUUCUUCUUCCUUCGGUCACGCCUGAACUUGCAACAUCCAAACCAUUAUUUCUUCCUUCUCUUCUCCCUUAGUCUCUCUUGUCACGCACCUGUUGACUCGUGAGAGGGCUUGAGUCGUGAGGGAGCUGCUGAGCUAGAGGAUUUUCUGCAAAAAAUUUGAGAGGAAAAAUGCGAAAAAUGUAAUGGAUAGUGUCCGGAUUGGAAACUUUAAUGGGUUCUCCAAUGUAGAGUUCGAUUCAUGUGUCCAAUGCAGCCAAGAUGUAGUUUCUUUGGCUGCAGGUAUUUUGGUCGUAGUUGAUGAUGUUGUAGAAAUGUACUUGAGAUAUUAUGACUGAAGCUCGCCGCAACGGUUGUAAUUGUCAGACUAUAGGUUGUCCACUAUUCUAUAGGUUUGUUUAUGGCUUGUGACGUUUGUGUCACUUGUUAUUGUAUAAAGCCAUUUAUGUUAUGUAUUUAUUAUGAGAAAAGACUUAAACAGAUAGAUGUAAUAUGGCUAUUUGUUUAUGAUUAUUUGUAAUAGAGGUUUAUGUUAU